This 1065-nucleotide long non-coding RNA is filed under the name Homo sapiens (human). Its description in RNAcentral is "non-protein coding lnc-NTRK3-2:7". The record is from RNAcentral. Lineage: Eukaryota; Metazoa; Chordata; Mammalia; Primates; Hominidae.
CUCAUUUUCUCUUCCUGCGGUCAGGUGAGGAGAGUUCUUCGCCUCGCGCCAGGAUUCUGAGGCCUCCCCAGCCAUGUGGAACUCAAUAUCCGGAGAGAGAGAGAGAGAUUCCUGUAGAAUACAAGACAAGACUAUCACAAUGAGCUGAAAUGUUGGGUCUGUGAAAGUAAUGAGAAGCACAGUGGAAAUAAGUUUCUGAAGGAUGGAAGAGGCUGGAGGCUGGCUAGUGGGAGAAGGUUCCCAGACACGUGAGAGACCCAGCAACAGAUUAAAAUCAUCCUUACCUGACAAGAGGACUCAGUGAAUCAAUGAUGCAGCAGGAAGAUGUUGUCUAUGACGUCAGAGCCCUCACCAGACACUUAAUUUGAUGGCAACUUGAUCUUGGACUUCUCAGUCUCCAGAACUUGAUAAGAAGGAGAUUACUGCUGCCCACGGGGAAAAAGGAGAACAGAAAUGGGAAAGCCGUAUUGAGAGGAUGUUUGAGAACUGUGAAAGACAGAAAGCAGAAUUGCCAUGCCUAAACCACUUUCUUUGAAGUUUAUGGAAGCACCACUGCAUUUAUGCCAGAAGGUGAAAGUCCAGAACAGGUGCUUUUUGGUUUGAGAAUGAGUGUUCUACAUACUGGCCUGUAAGGCAGUGCUACUCCAAGUGUGGUCCACAGGCUGGCAGCAACAUCAUAGGGGAGUAUGUUAACAAUGCUGAUUCUCCAGCCCCAGCUCCGGACUCUGUUUUAACGGUCUAUCCAGGCAUGAAUUCUACUCAAGUGGCCUGCCCCUCAGCAGAAGUUGGACAGGUGCUUAUGUUGCAAUUAACAAAAAGGAUACAUGCUGGGUCCUGCAGUAAAUGUCUCCCUUGGAUCAUGAAGUCUUUUUACCAUGUUACUGGAACACAGAAGGGUACUAUUGAGAACCAACUAACUUGGAGCCGUGUAUGAGCCACUGGGAAUAGACUAAAUGAGAUAAUCAACGUCUUGAUCUCAUAUUCUUUCAUUCUACAGAAGGAAGCAGGCAACAGGGAAGAGUAACUCCCCAGAGGUAUCUGAAUUUAAAGAUGUGAUAUGGAUCU